Molecule: ribosomal RNA, 253 nt
Filed under: uncultured bacterium
Lineage: Bacteria
Description: partial 16S ribosomal RNA
Rfam family: Bacterial small subunit ribosomal RNA
Source: RNAcentral
UACGUAGGGGGCAAGCGUUGUCCGGAAUCAUUGGGCGUAAAGCGCGCGUAGGCGGCCCGGUAAGUCCGCUGUAAAAGUCCAGGGCUCAACCCUGGAAAGCCGGUGGAUACUGUCGGGCUAGAGUCCGGAAGAGGCGAGUGGAAUUCCGAGUGUAGCGGUGAAAUGCGUAGAGACUCGGAAGAACACCAGUGGCGAAGGCGGCUACCUGGACGGGUACUGACGCUGCAGCGCGAAAGCUAGGGGAGCAAACAGG